RNAcentral lists this ribosomal RNA (567 nucleotides) under uncultured bacterium. Its description in RNAcentral is "bacterial SSU rRNA". It matches the Rfam family "Bacterial small subunit ribosomal RNA", at positions 224 to 806 of the family's 1533-position model. The record is from RNAcentral.
GGUGGGCUCGCGUCUGAUUAGCUAGUGGGCGGGGUAACGGCCCACCAAGGUGACGAUCAGUAGCCGACCUGAGAGGGUGAUCGGCCACACUGGGACUGAGGCACGGCCCAGACUCCUACGGGAGGCAGCAGUGGGGAAUAUUGGGCAAUGGGCGAAAGCCUGACCCAGCAACGCCGCGUGAGGGAAGAAGGUUUUCGGAUCGUAAACCUCUGUCCUUAGUGAAGAGAAAGAGACGGUAGCUAAGGAGGAAGCCCCGGCUAACUACGUGCCAGCAGCCGCGGUAAUACGUAGGGGGCGAGCGUUGUCCGGAAUGAUUGGGCGUAGAGGGCGCGUAGGCGGCCUGUUAAGUCCGGAGUGAAGUUCCUGCUUUCAAGGUAGGAAGUGCUUUGGAAACUGGCGGGCUGGAGUGCAGGAGAGGUUAGCGGAAUUCCCGGUGUAGCGGUGAAAUGCGUAGAGAUCGGGAGGAACACCAGUGGCGAAGGCGGCUAACUGGACUGUAACUGACGCUGAGGCGCGAAAGUGUGGGGAGCAAACAGGAUUAGAUACCCUGGUAGUCCACACCGUAAA